AACGAACGCUGGCGGCAGGCUUAACACAUGCAAGUCGAACGCCCCGCAAGGGGAGUGGCAGACGGGUGAGUAACGCGUGGGAACGUACCUUUCAGUUCGGAAUAACUCAGGGAAACUUGUGCUAAUACCGGAUACGCCCGCAAGGGGAAAGAUUUAUCGCUUAAAGAUCGGCCCGCGUUGGAUUAGCUAGUUGGGGGGUAAAGGCCUACCAAGGCGACGAUCCAUAGCUGGUCUGAGAGGAUGAUCAGCCACACUGGGACUGAGACACGGCCCAGACUCCUACGGGAGGCAGCAGUGGGGAAUAUUGGACAGUGGGCGAAAGCCUGAUCCAGCCAUGCCGCGUGUGUGAUGAAGGCCUUAGGGUUGUAAAGCACUUUCACCGAUGAAGAUAAUGACGGUAGUCGGAGAAGAAGCCCCGGCUAACUUCGUGCCAGCCGCCGCCGUAA
This 446-nucleotide ribosomal RNA is filed under the name uncultured bacterium. RNAcentral's name for it is "partial 16S ribosomal RNA". It matches the Rfam family "Bacterial small subunit ribosomal RNA", at positions 29 to 523 of the family's 1533-position model. The record is from RNAcentral.